AACGAACGCUGGCGGCACGUUUUAAGCAUGCAAGUCGAAUGGCAGCAGGGGCAACUCUGUGAGAAUGGCGAACGGGUGAGUAACACGUAGGUGAUCUGCCUUGAGGAUGGGGAUAGCCUGUGGAAACACAGGGUAAUACCGAAUGAGCUGACGAGACUUUGGUUUUGUUAGUAAAGGUGCUACGGCACCGCCUUGAGAGGAGCCUGCGGCUGAUUAGCUAGUUGGUGGGGUAAGAGCUUACCAAGGCGACGAUCAGUAGCCGGCCUGAGAGGGUGUACGGCCACACUGGAACUGAGACACGGUCCAGACUCCUACGGGAGGCAACAGCUAAGAAUCUUCCGCAAUGGGCGAAAGCCUGACGGAGCGAUGCCGCGUGAUCGAUGAAGGUCGAGAGAUUGUAAAGAUCUUUUCUACAUGAGGAAUAAGUCUGGGAGGGAAUGCCCGGAUGAUGACGUUAGUGUAGGAAUAAGCCCCGGCUAAUUACGUGCCAGCAGCCGCGGUAA
RNAcentral lists this ribosomal RNA (503 nucleotides) under uncultured bacterium. RNAcentral describes it as "partial 16S ribosomal RNA". It matches the Rfam family "Bacterial small subunit ribosomal RNA", at positions 29 to 523 of the family's 1533-position model. The record is from RNAcentral.